GUCAAUAUGUUGUUGGUGGGGAAAUAACCAUGCCACCUGCUAUUGUUGUCGUUAUUGUUUCCAGGAACACAGACUGUCGUGACAUGUAUCAGCUUUUUGAGAGGACUGUGAACGGCGCGCACUGGACAGAUUCAACCGUUUUCCGGGUGGAGUAUUCCUCCGCUCAGUGCAGAAGAUAGUCCAAUGAAUGUUUAUGUGCUGGGACACAUAACAACAACGAGAUGGCCAACUGUCCAGACCCGUGGUUGCCACGGGUGACAGUUCGUCAUGAGUACAUUGGCCUGAGAUCCUACGAGGUCUCUCCCUUCACAUCUGUUGAAGAUGUUAAACAGUUGCUCUACGAGGAGACAAACCUGCCUGUCAAAGAGCAACGGCUGACUCACAAUGGGAG
RNAcentral lists this long non-coding RNA (391 nucleotides) under Sander lucioperca (pikeperch). Its description in RNAcentral is "lncRNA (ENSSLUG00000015413.1)". Lineage: Eukaryota; Metazoa; Chordata; Actinopteri; Perciformes; Percidae. The record is from RNAcentral.